Molecule: long non-coding RNA, 1033 nt
Organism: Phragmites australis (common reed)
Lineage: Eukaryota; Viridiplantae; Streptophyta; Magnoliopsida; Poales; Poaceae
Exons: 2
Source: RefSeq, a predicted model, not a curated record
UCUCUCUCUCUGUAUCGUUGCUGUGCGCUGCGCCGCUGCUGCUGCUCGCCGACGCGUGCGCGUGUGCGUGCACUGCUAGCUGCUGCGCGCCGCCGCCGCGCCGCUGCUGCUGCUCGCCGACGCGCCUGCGAGCCGCUGCCGUCGCGCCGGGCCGCCGCCGUCGCGCCGUGCUUUGUGCUGGCUGCCGUGAGAGAAGAAAGAAGCAAGCCAGGAAGAGGGAAGCAAGAAAGAAAAAAAAAAGAAGAAGAAGCAAGGAAGGAGAAGACAGGAAGAAAGAAGGAAAGAAAAGAAAAGAAAAAAGGGGAAAAUGGAGAAAAGUUGGAAAUUUCAUAAUUUUGUCGGAUUCGUCGUCAAUCCUUCGAAGGCGUACCGAUGGCGUGGAUGUUAUUCUUUUUCGGUGGUGCGACCUCACGUCACGUCUAGUGCCUGGCUUCAUCGUCGGUAAAGGCAAGUGAAUGUAUUGUAUGACUACGCUUUAAUCUAUUAUUGAGUUGCCUACAUUCUUUAAUUACAAUGCAUUCAUCUGAUCUGAAUAACUGAUUAUGAGCUGGUUACUAUGUUGUUUACUUUUUCAGAAGUUUACUCGAUGAUUGAUUUAUGAAGUACAGUAAGUACGAUAUGCCAUUCUGCAGUUGUUCAUUAUUAUUUUAUGCAAUGCUUUUUUAAGUCUCAAGCAUUUUUCGGGAAUUAUGUUGGUUAUGCUUGAAGCACGUCAUACAUAUAUAUUUCAUGCAUUGGAAGUUUGUCGUCGUCUUCUGGCCGCGACCGUACCGGUACAGUACCGUAUGUCACCCGAGGAGGGGUACGGUGCACACCCUUACGUUACCCGAGGAGGGGUAAGGGUGAGGAGAGCAUAUCAUGUGUAUGGUUAUGUCUUCUUAUGAAAUUCAAUGAAUUACUCGCAUCAAAUCUUAUUUCCUUUAGUUAGCUUGUAUAUAGAUAUAUAUGCGGUUCUGAAGGCUUAUACCAACCGAAUGUUAAAAUGUUUAAUGUUAUCGUUGGACUUGCUUAGUCAUAAUUGUUUCUCCUAGUG